AUUAAACGCUGGCGGCAGGCCUAACACAUGCAAGUCGAGCGGAUGAAGGGAGCUUGCUCCUGGAUUCAGCGGCGGACGGGUGAGUAAUGCCUAGGAAUCUGCCUGGUAGUGGGGGAUAACGUCCGGAAACGGGCGCUAAUACCGCAUACGUCCUGAGGGAGAAAGUGGGGGAUCUUCGGACCUCACGCUAUCAGAUGAGCCUAGGUCGGAUUAGCUAGUUGGUGGGGUAAAGGCCUACCAAGGCGACGAUCCGUAACUGGUCUGAGAGGAUGAUCAGUCACACUGGAACUGAGACACGGUCCAGACUCCCACGGGAGGCAGCAGUGGGGAAUAUUGGACAAUGGGCGAAAGCCUGAUCCAGCCAUGCCGCGUGUGUGAAGAAGGUCUUCGGAUUGUAAAGCACUUUAAGUUGGGAGGAAGGGCAGUAAGUUAAUACCUUGCUGUUUUGACGUUACCAACAGAAUAAGCACCGGCUAACUUCGUG
This 484-nucleotide ribosomal RNA is filed under the name uncultured bacterium. RNAcentral's name for it is "partial 16S ribosomal RNA". It matches the Rfam family "Bacterial small subunit ribosomal RNA", at positions 30 to 507 of the family's 1533-position model. The record is from RNAcentral.